UUAACAUGGGAUUUAAAUCUCUACGUUUGUCUCGUUAGGCCCUCCAAAGACGGAAAUCGCAUUUUGAUCAGAUCUUGAUUAAAGAAAAUUAAUUAAAGUUGAGCGAAGGUCACACAAAUUAAAUAUUCCAUGGAAAAGUGCAGUGACAGUCGAACUCAGCGAAAAGGUAACAACCAUGUGCAAGUUCAACUCAAUCUAACCCGUUGAGUGACCAGGUCUGAUUCAUUCCAAUAAUAUCCUCCCCAAUCAACCAGGUAAACUACUCUGGUUAGGUUAGAUUAUAAUGGAUCGGCUGUUCAGAAAUGCUCUGCAUCUUCUUCAAUUCCCCUAACGAUACUUGUUGCGGGUUCUCCUUCAUCUUAAUCUUAUGCAAGUUUGCAGAGAGCCAGUGACGGAUGGAUAUGAAUUCAUCAAAUCCGGAUAUGAAUUCAUCAACUCCAAAUGGUAUAUAUAGAGUACAAAGCGAUGUAAGGUAGCAAGUUUCGGAAGACCUAUGGCACGAAGUGGUUGACCAAAGGUGAAGAUGGCGUUGUCAAUAUACAGUAGCAAGACUACAUCCUAUUCGAAUGAUUCUCCUAAAGACAAAAGCCAUUUGCACGAUCAGAAAGCACAUAUAACGGCCAUAAUCCUAUUAGGACAGGUAGAGCAGGCAGUACUAUUAUUUGUUUAUAAAAUAUAUUCUUAUCAUAAACUAAUAUGCAGCGACUACUAAUUGUGUGCAAGAAAGGAAACUGGUCUGAAGCUAUGACCACACCCAAAAAUUCAAAGAAUCGAGAGGUAAGCUGUCACCGAGGCGGAUUCAAAUGGUGGAUGAAGCAGGGUUUGGACAACUAUCUAACCUAUGUGUGUUUCAAGCUGAUAGGAGUUUGAUAACAACGAUGGCUCCAUGAAACCAACUUAUCUAGGCUAUGUGUGCUCCAAGAUGAAAAAUAAGAUGUCAUUGCAAUUUAUGUGACCUUGUUAAAGAAGUACCCAAUUAAUAUUAUGCAACUGUAUUUGAUAGGUACCCAGUUUAUAUUAUUUAACCAUGUUAAAAAAGUACCCAAUAAAUAAUUUGAGACCCCCUUAAAGAGGUACCCAAUUUAUAUUAUGCUACGGUGUUAGAGAGGUACCCUAUUUCGGAAGAGUUCAACUAUGUAUGUACCUUAAACUCCUUUUGUGUUUAUAUAGUACAUUCUAUAAAAAAAAAAAAUCCAUAAGUAUUAGUUAUGUAUUGAUUGUGUAUUCAAUUAUGGCGCUUAUUUUGUUGGUUAAUUGCAUAACCUGUUUGCUGAUAAGGUGAAUUGUGCAGAUGGCACAAACAAGGCUGGGGACCAGAAAUUGCAAGACGACCUGGAUAAUUUAUGGGCUUCGUAUACGGAGGAGCAGAAGAUGAAACUGGCAAAAAAAAAAAAAACGAAUAAUCAGGGAAGGAGGGGACAACACCCUCUACAGGAUUAUACAUAAACACAGGUUCUGGAUAUAGUGCACCCGAAGUUUCUAUAUCUGGCCAAUAUACCCUAAAGAGUGAUGUUUACAGUUUUGGAGUCGUCAUGUUGGAGAUUCUCACUGGUCGUAAACCCUUUGAAAGAUCAAGAUCUGAACAAUCUUUGUUUCGGUGGGAAACACCUCAGCUCCAUGACAUUGAUGCGUUAGAUGACGUGGUUGACUCAUCACUCAAAGGACCCUACCCUCCUAAAUCCCUCUUGCGAUUCGCUGACGUGGUUGCUCUCUGUGUCCAGUCUGAGCCAGAGUUCCGACCACCAAUGUACAGGCGCUAGUACGACUAGUGCAACGAGCUAACGUGAGCAAAAGAAAUCUCGGAGAAGAUCGACGAUCAGAAGACCCUGAUGUGCAGGAUGACAUGUAUUAGAGAAUUGCCUUUUGCAAAAAAAAUAUUUAGGCUUAGAACUCUUUUUUUGUUGAUACUCAUUUUCAUUUUUUAGUUUAUACAAAGGGGUAGGGGAAGUGUUCAUCUACGGGAGAGAUAUUGAAAUGUUAUAUAUUGUGUUGUAUCAUUUAUUUUCUGUUUUCCUUCCUUCAAAUUCUUUGAA
Molecule: RNA transcript, 2033 nt
Organism: Papaver somniferum (opium poppy)
Lineage: Eukaryota; Viridiplantae; Streptophyta; Magnoliopsida; Ranunculales; Papaveraceae
Gene name: protein STRUBBELIG-RECEPTOR FAMILY 7-like
Exons: 7
Source: RefSeq, a predicted model, not a curated record